AAAAAGAUAAGCUAAAUAAAGCUUUUGGGUUCAUACCCCAAAUAUAAAGAAAUACUUUUCUUUUUA
RNAcentral lists this transfer RNA (66 nucleotides) under Inflata indica. RNAcentral's name for it is "tRNA-Met". Lineage: Eukaryota; Metazoa; Arthropoda; Insecta; Coleoptera; Lampyridae. RNAcentral also lists the same sequence under 1 other name. The record is from RNAcentral.